AGAGUUUGAUCAUGGCUCAGGAUGAACGCUGGCGGCGUGCUUAACACAUGCAAGUCGAACGAUAAAAGCCCCUUCGGGGGUGUAUAAAGUGGCGAACGGGUGAGUAACACGUGGGCAAUCUGCCCCUCACAUCGGGAUAACUCAGGGAAACUUGAGCUAAUACCGGAUACUCCGGGACGAUCGCAUGGUCGACCCGGGAAAGCUCCGACGGUGAGGGAUGAGCCCGCGGCCCAUUAGCUUGUUGGUAGGGUAACGGCCUACCAAGGCGACGAUGGGUAGCCGAGCUGAGAGGCUGAUCGGCCACACUGGGACUGAGACACGGCCCAGACUCCUACGGGAGGCAGCAGUGGGGAAUUUUGCGCAAUGGGCGAAAGCCUGACGCAGCAACGCCGCGUGCGGGAUGAAGGCCUUCGGGUUGUAUACCGCUUUCAGCAGGGAUGAAACUGACAGUACCUGCAGAAGAAGCCCCGGCUAACUACGUGCCAGCAGCCGCGGUAAUACGUAGGGGGCAAGCGUUAUCCGGAUUCAUUGGGCGUAAAGAGCGCGUAGGCGGCUUGUUAAGCGAGAUGUGAAAUCCGGGGGCUUAACCCGCGGCUUGCAUCUCGAACUGGCAGGCUUGAGUCUGGUAGAGGAGUGUGGAAUUCCCAGUGUAGCGGUGAAAUGCGCAGAUAUUGGGAGGAACACCAGUGGCGAAGGCGGCACUCUGGGCCACGACCGACGCUGAGGCGCGAAAGCUAGGGGAGCGAACAGGAUUAGAUACCCUGGUAGUCCUAGCCGUAAACGAUGGGCACUAGGUGUGGGGGGUAUAACUCCCUCCGUGCCGCAGCUAACGCAUUAAGUGCCCCGCCUGGGGAGUACGGCCGCAAGGCUAAAACUCAAAGGAAUUGACGG
RNAcentral lists this ribosomal RNA (891 nucleotides) under uncultured bacterium. RNAcentral's name for it is "bacterial SSU rRNA". It matches the Rfam family "Bacterial small subunit ribosomal RNA", at positions 8 to 916 of the family's 1533-position model. The record is from RNAcentral.